Molecule: ribosomal RNA, 120 nt
Filed under: Ochotona princeps (American pika)
Lineage: Eukaryota; Metazoa; Chordata; Mammalia; Lagomorpha; Ochotonidae
Source: RNAcentral
GUCUAUGGCCAUAGCAUCCUGAACGUGCCCGAUCUCGUCUGAUCGCAGAAGCUAAGCAGGGUCAGGCCUGGUUAGUACUUGGAUGGGAGACAUAAAGGUGUUUGUAAAGGACUGUUCACA